This 28-nucleotide non-coding RNA is filed under the name Mus musculus (house mouse). The record is from RNAcentral. Lineage: Eukaryota; Metazoa; Chordata; Mammalia; Rodentia; Muridae.
UGCCAGGAAAAGAAACAAACAAAAACCC